GAUGAACGCUGGCGGCGUGCCUAAUACAUGCAAGUCGAGCGAACAGAUAAGGAGCUUGCUCCUUUGACGUUAGCGGCGGACGGGUGAGUAACACGUGGGUAACCUACCUAUAAGACUGGAAUAACUCCGGGAAACCGGGGCUAAUGCCGGAUAACAUUUAGAACCGCAUGGUUCUAAAGUGAAAGAUGGUUUUGCUAUCACUUAUAGAUGGACCCGCGCCGUAUUAGCUAGUUGGUAAGGUAACGGCUUACCAAGGCAACGAUACGUAGCCGACCUGAGAGGGUGAUCGGCCACACUGGAACUGAGACACGGUCCAGACUCCUACGGGAGGCAGCAGUAGGGAAUCUUCCGCAAUGGGCGAAAGCCUGACGGAGCAACGCCGCGUGAGUGAUGAAGGUCUUCGGAUCGUAAAACUCUGUUAUUAGGGAAGAACAAAUGUGUAAGUGACUGUGCACGUCUUGACGGUACCUAAUCAGAAAGCCACGGCUAACUACGUG
Molecule: ribosomal RNA, 497 nt
Filed under: uncultured bacterium
Lineage: Bacteria
Description: partial 16S ribosomal RNA
Rfam family: Bacterial small subunit ribosomal RNA
Source: RNAcentral